RNAcentral lists this long non-coding RNA (712 nucleotides) under Phaseolus vulgaris (common bean). RNAcentral's name for it is "long non-coding RNA (PVUL_LNC004299)". The record is from RNAcentral. Lineage: Eukaryota; Viridiplantae; Streptophyta; Magnoliopsida; Fabales; Fabaceae.
UGUGCAAUAUAAAACGGAAUUAAAAAAUUGAAGUUGAAAGAGGCAUGGAGUGUGGCACAUGGACCUGGUCCAAUGAGGGAACAGUUUCUGGACUGUUUCUUUCUGCACCUCCACAUCUUCUUCUGCCACCUCCAUACACAACAUGAAAAUACAUUUUUAUCCUUUUUGUGUCACCCCAUAUAAUAGUUUUCGGGUUAUAUAAUCUGGAAAUUCAUUUGAAAAAAGACUUCCGGAUUACAUAAUCCAGAAGCUAAAUAAGACUUCCGAAUUAUGUAAUCCGAAAAGUAAUCAUGCAUCUGAAAAAAGAAUUUCGAAUUAUGUAAUCUGGAAGCUAAUUAUAAAUUUGAAAAAUGACUUAUGGAUCAUAUAAUCCGGAAUAUUAUUAAGGGGCAUUUUUAAAAAUUCGAAAAUAUAUGGAGGUGAGAGAAGAAUGUAUGGAGGUGCAGGAAGAAACAGUUCAGUUUCUGUUAUACAUUGGACAAAACCUUAACUGAAGAAGCCCAGAUUUAUGAACAAACAUAACCCAAAAUGUGCAAUAGAUAAGAGGCUUCUUCUUCCUGCAUCCCUACAUUUUUCUUUCUGCACCCCACAAUUUUCUAAAUCCCGAAACUGGUCUUAAUCUUUUAUUUGAAAAAGGAUACCGUGGUUACUGAAAAUAGGAAUCUGGGAGUGUGCUACGGAUUCAUCAAUCCGGAACUGAAUAUUUUUUUUU